UUGAACGCUGGCGGCAUGCUUUACACAUGCAAGUCGAACGGUAACAGGCCUUCGGGUGCUGACGAGUGGCGAACGGGUGAGUAAUGCAUCGGAACGUGCCCAGAGGUGGGGGAUAACGCAGCGAAAGCUGUGCUAAUACCGCAUGUGAUCUGAGGAUGAAAGCGGGGGACCAGGCAGCAAUGUUUGGCCUCGCGCCUUUUGAGCGGCCGAUGUCAGAUUAGGUAGUUGGUGGGGUAAAGGCCUACCAAGCCGACGAUCUGUAGCUGGUCUGAGAGGACGACCAGCCACACUGGGACUGAGACACGGCCCAGACUCCUACGGGAGGCAGCAGUGGGGAAUUUUGGACAAUGGGCGCAAGCCUGAUCCAGCAAUGCCGCGUGCGGGAAGAAGGCCUUCGGGUUGUAAACCGCUUUUGUACGGAACGAAAAGGCUCUGGCUAAUACCUGGGGCUGAUGACGGUACCGGAAGAAUAAGCACCGGCUAACUACGUG
This 491-nucleotide ribosomal RNA is filed under the name uncultured bacterium. RNAcentral's name for it is "partial 16S ribosomal RNA". It matches the Rfam family "Bacterial small subunit ribosomal RNA", at positions 30 to 507 of the family's 1533-position model. The record is from RNAcentral.